Molecule: long non-coding RNA, 157 nt
Organism: Helianthus annuus (common sunflower)
Lineage: Eukaryota; Viridiplantae; Streptophyta; Magnoliopsida; Asterales; Asteraceae
Exons: 2
Source: RefSeq, a predicted model, not a curated record
AUAACCCGUUAAUGUCGCCGGGUAGAUCUUAUACUCAUUCCUUUCUAUUGAAGCCACCAAAUCUGAGGAUCGAAGCAAUUAUCGAAGCUCUUCAAGAAAAGAAACUUGUUGGAAUAGGUUAAUGGAGUUUAUGCAAGAGAUGAGUCAGCAAAGGUAG